UACAGAGGGUGCGAGCGUUAAUCGGAAUUACUGGGCGUAAAGGGCGCGUAGGCGGCGCGGUAAGUCACUUGUGAAAUCUCUGAGCUUAACUCAGAACGGCCAAGUGAUACUGCAGUGCUAGAGUGCAGAAGGGGCAAUCGGAAUUCUUGGUGUAGCGGUGAAAUGCGUAGAUAUCAAGAGGAACACCUGAGGUGAAGACGGGUUGCUAGGCUGACACUGACGCUGAGGCGCGAAAGCCAGGGGAGCAAACGGG
Molecule: ribosomal RNA, 253 nt
Filed under: uncultured bacterium
Lineage: Bacteria
Description: partial 16S ribosomal RNA
Rfam family: Bacterial small subunit ribosomal RNA
Source: RNAcentral